Molecule: ribosomal RNA, 272 nt
Filed under: uncultured soil bacterium
Lineage: Bacteria
Description: partial 16S ribosomal RNA
Rfam family: Bacterial small subunit ribosomal RNA
Source: RNAcentral
AGAAUCAACGCUGGCGGCGUGCCUAACACAUGCAAGUCGAGCGCGAAAGGGGAGCAAUCCCCAAGUAGAGCGGCGGACGGGUGAGUAACGCGUGGGUAAUCUACCUCCGAGUGGGGAAUAACAGCGGGAAACUGCUGCUAAUACCGCAUGACAUCGUCGAGCCUUCGGGCAUGACGAUCAAAGCCGGGGACCGCAAGGCCUGGCGCUUGGAGAGGAGCCCGCGCCCGAUUAGCUAGUUGGCGGGUAAUGGCCCACCAAGGCUCCGAUCGGUA